UACGAAGGGUGCAAGCGUUAAUCGGAAUUACUGGGCGUAAAGCGUGCGUAGGCGGUUUGUUAAGUCUGCUGUGAAAUCCCCGGGCUCAACCUGGGAAUGGCAGUGGAUACUGGCAAGCUAGAGUGUGUCAGAGGAUGGUGGAAUUCCCGGUGUAGCGGUGAAAUGCGUAGAUAUCGGGAGGAACAUCAGUGGCGAAGGCGGCCAUCUGGGACAACACUGACGCUGAGGCACGAAAGCGUGGGGAGCAAACAGG
RNAcentral lists this ribosomal RNA (253 nucleotides) under uncultured bacterium. Its description in RNAcentral is "partial 16S ribosomal RNA". It matches the Rfam family "Bacterial small subunit ribosomal RNA", at positions 524 to 776 of the family's 1533-position model. The record is from RNAcentral.